Molecule: transfer RNA, 698 nt
Filed under: uncultured Bartonella sp.
Lineage: Bacteria; Pseudomonadati; Pseudomonadota; Alphaproteobacteria; Hyphomicrobiales; Bartonellaceae
Description: partial 16S-23S intergenic spacer
Rfam family: tRNA (bases 118-191)
Source: RNAcentral
GCCUUCUGGCGAUCUAGACAAAACAAGUCCACCGUGGGCUUUGAAAAACGCUUUCCUUGAUAAAAUUUAAGCGUUUUAUAAGAGGAUGCCCGGGAAGGUUUUCCGGUUUAUCCCGGAGGGCUUGUAGCUCAGUUGGUUAGAGCGCGCGCUUGAUAAGCGUGAGGUCGGAGGUUCAAGUCCUCCCAGGCCCACCAGUUUAUCCAUUACUUUCAUAAGUGCUUUUAAAAAAUAAGUACUUCUAAAAAGAUUGCUUCUAAAAAGCUUAUCAAAAUUGGCAGGCUUAUUGCUUUUGUGUGAGUAAUCCAAAGUUAAAGCAAAUUAAUGGCAAAAAAACAGUUCAAAUGCUAAAUACUAAGGAGUCAAAAUUCCUUGCAAAGUGAUUUUUACAGCGUCCAUUUGGUUGAUAUAAAUUCCAAAUGCUCAUAGACGUCAAUGCCUAUAUGAAACUAUCGGUUCAAUCAUAUCGCUUUGAGUUAUAUAGAUUUUGUAAUCCCUCUUUUGAUCGUUUUAAACGCUUUAUCCUGAUUUAGGGGCCGUAGCUCAGCUGGGAGAGCACCUGCUUUGCAAGCAGGGGGUCGUCGGUUCGAUCCCGUCCGGCUCCACCAUAAGGUCAUCAUCAUUGUUGUAAGAACAGUUUUGUAAAAGGUUUGCGAACCUUUUGCUUGUUCUAUUGAAAUUGUGAAGAGAAGAUAUAUUCA